Molecule: transfer RNA, 76 nt
Filed under: Planctomycetota bacterium
Lineage: Bacteria; Pseudomonadati; Planctomycetota
Description: tRNA-Trp
Rfam family: tRNA
About the family: Transfer RNA (tRNA) molecules are approximately 80 nucleotides in length. Their secondary structure includes four short double-helical elements and three loops (D, anti-codon, and T loops). Further hydrogen bonds mediate the characteristic L-shaped molecular structure. tRNAs have two regions of fundamental functional importance: the anti-codon, which is responsible for specific mRNA codon recognition, and the 3' end, to which the tRNAs corresponding amino acid is attached (by aminoacyl-tRNA synthetases). tRNAs cope with the degeneracy of the genetic code in two manners: having more than one tRNA (with a specific anti-codon) for a particular amino acid; and 'wobble' base-pairing, i.e. permitting non-standard base-pairing at the 3rd anti-codon position.
Source: RNAcentral
AGGACGGUAGGUCAAUUGGCAGACUACCGGUCUCCAAAACCGGGGGUUGGGGGUUCGAAUCCCCCCCGUCCUGCCA